RNAcentral lists this ribosomal RNA (224 nucleotides) under uncultured bacterium. RNAcentral describes it as "partial 16S ribosomal RNA". It matches the Rfam family "Bacterial small subunit ribosomal RNA", at positions 111 to 334 of the family's 1533-position model. The record is from RNAcentral.
UAACGCGUAAAGAACUUGCCUCACAGCUAGGGACAACAUUUAGAAAUGAAUGCUAAUACCUGAUAUUACGAUUUUAAGGCAUCUUAGAAUUAUGAAAGCUAUAAGCACUGUGAGAGAGCUUUGCGUCCCAUUAGCUAGUUGGAGAGGUAACAGCUCACCAAGGCGAUGAUGGGUAGCCGGCCUGAGAGGGUGAACGGCCACAAGGGGACUGAGACACGGCCCUU